This 164-nucleotide small nuclear RNA is filed under the name Chelonoidis abingdonii (Abingdon island giant tortoise). RNAcentral describes it as "U4 spliceosomal RNA (ENSCABG00000015147.1)". The stretch from base 1 to 127 matches the Rfam family "U4 spliceosomal RNA". Rfam says of the family: U4 small nuclear RNA (U4 snRNA) is a component of the major U2-dependent spliceosome. The structure of U4 snRNA from yeast and human has been reported. U4 snRNA presents a k-turn RNA motif in the 5p-SL related to recognition of Snu13 protein. The record is from RNAcentral. Lineage: Eukaryota; Metazoa; Chordata; Testudines; Testudinidae.
AGCUUUGCACAGUGGCAGUAUCAUAACCAACGAAGUGAUCUGAGGUGUGAUUAUUGCUACUUGAAAAUCUGCUCCUCUCCCCUUCCUGGUGGUAGAUGUACAAUACUACUGUAGACAGCAGAAACUGUUACAUCUUCUUGCUCUUUUUUUACACUCACCAGUAA